GGACGAACGCUGGCGGCGUGCCUAAUACAUGCAAGUCGAACGAACUCUGGUAUUGAUUGGUGCUUGCAUCAUGAUUUACAUUUGAGUGAGUGGCGAACUGGUGAGUAACACGUGGGAAACCUGCCCAGAAGCGGGGGAUAACACCUGGAAACAGAUGCUAAUACCGCAUAACAACUUGGACCGCAUGGUCCGAGUUUGAAAGAUGGCUUCGGCUAUCACUUUUGGAUGGUCCCGCGGCGUAUUAGCUAGAUGGUGGGGUAACGGCUCACCAUGGCAAUGAUACGUAGCCGACCUGAGAGGGUAAUCGGCCACAUUGGGACUGAGACACGGCCCAAACUCCUACGGGAGGCAGCAGUAGGGAAUCUUCCACAAUGGACGAAAGUCUGAUGGAGCAACGCCGCGUGAGUGAAGAAGGGUUUCGGCUCGUAAAACUCUGUUGUUAAAGAAGAACAUAUCUGAGAGUAACUGUUCAGGUAUUGACGGUAUUUAACCAGAAAGCCACGGCUAACUACGUGCCAGCAGCCGCGGUAAUACGUAGGUGGCAAGCGUUGUCCGGAUUUAUUGGGCGUAAAGCGAGCGCAGGCGGUUUUUUAAGUCUGAUGUGAAAGCCUUCGGCUCAACCGAAGAAGUGCAUCGGAAACUGGGAAACUUGAGUGCAGAAGAGGACAGUGGAACUCCAUGUGUAGCGGUGAAAUGCGUAGAUAUAUGGAAGAACACCAGUGGCGAAGGCGGCUGUCUGGUCUGUAACUGACGCUGAGGCUCGAAAGUAUGGGUAGCAAACAGGAUUAGAUACCCUGGUAGUCCAUACCGUAAACGAUGAAUGCUAAGUGUUGGAGGGUUUCCGCCCUUCAGUGCUGCAGCUAACGCAUUAAGCAUUCCGCCUGGGGAGUACGGCCGCAAGGCUGAAACUCAAAGGAAUUGACGGGGGCCCGCACAAGCGGUGGAGCAUGUGGUUUAAUUCGAAGCUACGCGAAGAACCUUACCAGGUCUUGACAUACUAUGCAAAUCUAAGAGAUUAGACAUUCCCUUCGGGGACAUGGAUACAGGUGGUGCAUGGUUGUCGUCAGCUCGUGUCGUGAGAUGUUGGGUUAAGUCCCGCAACGAGCGCAACCCUUAUUAUCAGUUGCCAGCAUUAAGUUGGGCACUCUGGUGAGACUGCCGGUGACAAACCGGAGGAAGGUGGGGAUGACGUCAAAUCAUCAUGCCCCUUAUGACCUGGGCUACACACGUGCUACAAUGGAUGGUACAACGAGUUGCGAACUCGCGAGAGUAAGCUAAUCUCUUAAAGCCAUUCUCAGUUCGGAUUGUAGGCUGCAACUCGCCUACAUGAAGUCGGAAUCGCUAGUAAUCGCGGAUCAGCAUGCCGCGGUGAAUACGUUCCCGGGCCUUGUACACACCGCCCGUCACACCAUGAGAGUUUGUAACACCCAAAGUCGGUGGGGUAACCUUUUAGGAACCAGCCGCCUAAGGUGGGACAGAUGAUUAGGGUG
This 1490-nucleotide ribosomal RNA is filed under the name Lactiplantibacillus pentosus. RNAcentral describes it as "bacterial SSU rRNA". It matches the Rfam family "Bacterial small subunit ribosomal RNA". The record is from RNAcentral. Lineage: Bacteria; Bacillati; Bacillota; Bacilli; Lactobacillales; Lactobacillaceae.